GGUUAAGCGACUAAGCGUACACGGUGGAUGCCCCCGGCAGUCAGAGGCGAUGAAGGACGUGCUAAUCUGCGAAAAGCGUCGGUAAGGUGAUAUGAACCGUUAUAACCGGCGAUGUCCGAAUGGGGAAACCCAGUGCAAUUCGUUGCACUAUCGUUAACUGAAUACAUAGGUUAACGAGGCGAACCGGGGAACUGAAACAUCUAAGUACCCCGAGGAAAAGAAAUCAACCGAGAUUCCCCCCAGUAGCGGCGAGCGAACGGGGAGCAGCCCAGAGUCUGAAUCAGCUUGUGUGUUAGUGGAACGGUCUGGAAAGUCCGACGGUACAGGGUGAUAGUCCCGUACACCAAAAAUGCACAGGUUGUGAACUCGAAGAGUAGGGCGGGACACGUGGUAUCCUGUCUGAAUAUGGGGGACCAUCCUCCAAGGCUAAAUACUCCUGACUGACCGAUAGUGAACCAGUACCGUGAGGGAAAGGCGAAAAGAACCCCGGCGAGGGGAGUGAAAAAGAACCUGAAACCGUGUACGUACAAGCAGUGGGAGCACCUUCGGGUGUGACUGCGUACCUUUGUAUAAUGGGUCAGCGACUUAUAUUCUGUAGCAAGGUUAACCGUAUAGGGGAGCCGCAGGGAAACCGAGUCUUAACUGGGCGUUAAGUUGCAGGGUAUAGACCCGAAACCCGGUGAUCUAGCCAUGGGCAGGUUGAAGGUUGGGUAACACUAACUGGAGGACCGAACCGACUAAUGUUGAAAAAUUAGCGGAUGACUUGUGGCUGGGGGGUGAAAGGCCAAUCAAACCGGGAGAUAGCUGGUUCUCCCCGAAAGCUAUUUAGGUAGCGCCUCGUGAACUCAUCUUCGGGGGUAGAGCACUGUUUCGGCUAGGGGGUCAUCCCGACUUACCAACCCGAUGCAAACUACGAAUACCGAAGAAUGUUAUCACGGGAGACACACGGCGGGUGCUAACGUCCGUCGUGAAGAGGGAAACAACCCAGACCGCCAGCUAAGGUCCCAAAGUCAUGGUUAAGUGGGAAACGAUGUGGGAAGGCACAGACAGCCGGGGAUGUUGGCUUAGAAGCAGCCAUCAUUUAAAGAAAGCGUAAUAGCUCACUGGUCGAGUCGGCCUGCGCGGAAGAUGUAACGGGGCUAAACCAUGCACCGAAGCUGCGGCAGCGACACUAUGUGUUGUUGGGUAGGGGAGCGUUCUGUAAGCCUGCGAAGGUGUGCUGUGAGGCAUGCUGGAGGUAUCAGAAGUGCGAAUGCUGACAUAAGUAACGAUAAAGCGGGUGAAAAGCCCGCUCGCCGGAAGACCAAGGGUUCCUGUCCAACGUUAAUCGGGGCAGGGUGAGUCGACCCCUAAGGCGAGGCCGAAAGGCGUAGUCGAUGGGAAACAGGUUAAUAUUCCUGUACUUGGUGUUACUGCGAAGGGGGGGACGGAGAAGGCUAUGUUAGCCGGGCGACGGUUGUCCCGGUUUAAGCAUGUAGGCUGAUUGUCCGAGGCAAAUCCGGAUAAUCAAGGCUGAGGUGUGAUGACGAGGCACUACGGUGCUGAAGUAACAAAUGCCCUGCUUCCGAGGAAAAGCCUCUAAGCAUCAGGUAACAUUAAAUCGUACCCCAAACCGACACAGGUGGUCAGGUAGAGAAUACCAAGGCGCUUGAGAGAACUCGGGUGAAGGAACUAGGCAAAAUGGUGCCGUAACUUCGGGAGAAGGCACGCUGGUGUGUAGGUGAAGUCCCUGCGGAUGGAGCUGAGACCAGUCGAAGAUACCAGCUGGCUGCAACUGUUUAUUAAAAACACAGCACUGUGCAAACACGAAAGUGGACGUAUACGGUGUGACGCCUGCCCGGUGCCGGAAGGUUAAUUGAUGGGGUUAUCCGUAAGGAGAAGCUCUUGAUCGAAGCCCCGGUAAACGGCGGCCGUAACUAUAACGGUCCUAAGGUAGCGAAAUUCCUUGUCGGGUAAGUUCCGACCUGCACGAAUGGCGUAAUGAUGGCCGGGGCUGUCUCCACCCGAGACUCAGUGAAAUUGAACUCGCUGUGAAGAUGCAGUGUACCCGCGGCAAGACGGAAAGACCCCGUGAACCUUUACUAUAGCUUGACACUGAACAUUGAGCCUUGAUGUGUAGGAUAGGUGGGAGGCUUUGAAGCGUGGACGCCAGUCUGCGUGGAGCCAACCUUGAAAUACCACCCUUUAAUGUUUGAUGUUCUAACGUUGGCCCCUGACCGGGGUUGCGGACAGUGUCUGGUGGGUAGUUUGACUGGGGCGGUCUCCUCCCAAAGCGUAACGGAGGAGCACGAAGGUUAGCUAAUCCCCGGUCGGACAUCAGGAGGUUAGUGCAAUGGCAUAAGCUAGCUUGACUGCGAGCGUGACGGCGCGAGCAGGUGCGAAAGCAGGUCAUAGUGAUCCGGUGGUUCUGAAUGGAAGGGCCAUCGCUCAACGGAUAAAAGGUACUCCGGGGAUAACAGGCUGAUACCGCCCAAGAGUUCAUAUCGACGGCGGUGUUUGGCACCUCGAUGUCGGCUCAUCACAUCCCCGGGGCUGAAGUAGGUCCCAAGGGUAUGGCUGUUCGCCAUUUAAAGUGGUACGCGAGCUGGGUUUAGAACGUCGUGAGACAGUUCGGUCCCUAUCUGCCGUGGGCGCUGGAGAAUUGAGGGGGCUGCUCCUAGUACGAGAGGACCGGAGUGGACGCAUCACUGGUGUUCGGGUUGUCAUGCCAAUGGCACUGCCCGGUAGCUAAAUGCGGAAGAGAUAAGUGCUGAAAGCAUCUAAGCACGAAACUUGCCCCGAGAUGAGUUCUCCCUGAGACUUUAAGUCUCCUGAAGGAACGUUGAAGACGACGACGUUGAUAGGCCGGGUGUGUAAGCGCAGCGAUGCGUUGAGCUAACCGGUACUAAUGAACCGUGAGGCUUAACCUU
Molecule: ribosomal RNA, 2909 nt
Filed under: Klebsiella pneumoniae
Lineage: Bacteria; Pseudomonadati; Pseudomonadota; Gammaproteobacteria; Enterobacterales; Enterobacteriaceae
Description: 23S ribosomal RNA
Rfam family: Bacterial large subunit ribosomal RNA
Source: RNAcentral